GUCUACGGCCAUACCACCCUGAACGCACCCGAUCCCGUCUGAUCUCAGAACCUAAGCAGGGUCAGGCCUGGUUAGUACUUGGAUGGGAGAAAAAAAAUAUUUUUAAAAAAAUAACAACAGGGCCCGGCGGCGUGGCCU
Ribosomal RNA from Ochotona princeps (American pika), 138 nucleotides. The record is from Ensembl. NCBI's taxonomy places the organism in Eukaryota, Metazoa, Chordata, Mammalia, Lagomorpha, Ochotonidae.